Molecule: ribosomal RNA, 410 nt
Filed under: uncultured bacterium
Lineage: Bacteria
Description: bacterial SSU rRNA
Rfam family: Bacterial small subunit ribosomal RNA
Source: RNAcentral
UAGGGAAUAUUGCGCAAUGGGCGGAAGCCUGACGCAGCAACGCCGCGUGGGGGAUGACGGCCUUCGGGUUGUAAACCUCUUUCAGCGCCGAAGAAGCCGAAUGGUGACGGUAGGUGUAGAAGAAGGACCGGCUAACUACGUGCCAGCAGCCGCGGUAAUACGUAGGGUCCUAGCGUUGUCCGGAAUUAUUGGGCGUAAAGAGCUCGUAGGUGGUGUGUCGCGUCGGAUGUGAAAGCCCGGGGCUUAACUUCGGGUCUGCAUUCGGUACGGGCAUGCUGGAGUUCGGUAGGGGAGACUGGAAUUCCUGGUGUAGCGGUGAAAUGCGCAGAUAUCAGGAGGAACACCGGUGGCGAAGGCGGGUCUCUGGGCCGAUACUGACACUGAGGAGCGAAAGCGUGGGGAGCGAACAG